GAAAUGCGAUAAGUAGUGUGAAUUGCAGAAUUCAGUGAAUCAUCGAAUCUUUGAACGCACAUUGCGCCCUUUGGUAUUCCUUAGGGCAUGCCUGUUCGAGCGUCAUCUAAACCCUCAAGCCCUGCUUGGUGUUGGGUGCCUGUCCCGCCCCCGUGCGCGGACUCACCUCAAAUCCAUUGGCGGCCCUCGUGCCGGCCCCGAGCGCAGCAGAAACGCGGUCUCGUGGCCCGUCGGAGCGUGCCCCCAGAAGCAACAUUCACCGUUUUGACCUCGGAUCAGGUAGGGAUACCCGCUGAACUUAAGC
RNAcentral lists this unclassified non-coding RNA (304 nucleotides) under plant metagenome. RNAcentral's name for it is "partial contains 5.8S ribosomal RNA, internal transcribed spacer 2, and large subunit ribosomal RNA". The stretch from base 1 to 105 matches the Rfam family "5.8S ribosomal RNA", at positions 50 to 154 of the family's 154-position model. The record is from RNAcentral.